GAGGUUUUAGUACCUUGCCCAAAGUCACCUAGCUCAUAAGUGAUGGAGUCAGAAUUUUCAUGGAGCCUAAAUUUCUGAACCCAGCAUCAAGGCUCUUCCCAACUGGACCACAGCCUUCCUUAAUGUUCUCAAAACACUCUCCUCCUCAUCGCGACCACCCUUGAGAACCUCGGACUACGCACCAUGCAGGUUCUUGCCUUUGUUUCUUGCUUUCCAAUGUGAUUUGAUGCAUGUAUGCGUAGUCGGGAAUCUUACGCGCCCAAAGUGACGUUCAGUCUCUGUUCCAGAUUCCAGAGGAGCUUCCUGCCAUAGCACUAUGACUAUGGAUAAGUGUUUGGAGAUAUGUUUCAUCAUAAUUACUCUCAUUUACACUGACAAUGAGCAUUGAAUAAAAUUGCUAAAUU
Long non-coding RNA from Mustela lutreola (European mink), 404 nucleotides. RefSeq lists it as uncharacterized. Lineage: Eukaryota; Metazoa; Chordata; Mammalia; Carnivora; Mustelidae. The transcript is spliced from 4 exons. The record is from RefSeq and is a predicted model, not a curated record.